Long non-coding RNA from Equus caballus (horse), 2902 nucleotides. Lineage: Eukaryota; Metazoa; Chordata; Mammalia; Perissodactyla; Equidae. The record is from Ensembl.
GUUCAUCUGAGCUGUCAAAGCUUUAAUCAAUAGGUGAUAUUAAAACAACACAACAAUCAAAGUUACUUUCAUGUAUGAUUUUAAGACGUAAGUUCAUGUUUAUGUUGGUGAAAUUGAAAUGGACAUGAGACACUUACUCUUGACGGGGUCUCGUAAAUAUGGAAUGCAGUGAAGUAGGGCCAGGUGCCACUGAGUUUGAAUUGUUCUAGGAUUUGUCUUUUUGAUAGUAGGCAAGUUCUUAGUCUUCCUGAAAUUUAGAGUUGCAAAAAAAUGUACAGUAGACUUAUGCUUCUUACUGUUGGUUUUGUUUCUUUGCUAUUCAGCAUCUGAGCAUCCUUUAUCCUCUUUCUGGCAUGUGGGCAUUGGUCCCACUCUGGAACAUAAAAGGCCAAUUCUCCUGCCCUGUUGUAGCUUUAACAGUAGCUGUCAAACCUUGUCGUCCAUGAGGAUCACAUGGAAAGCUUUUAAAAGCAUAGAUUGCUGGGCCACACCCCCUGCGGGGUUUGAGUAUUUACAUCUCUAACAAGUUCCCAGGUGAUGUGCAUGUUGCUGGUUAGGGAUCACACUUUAAGAACCACUGAACGAGCAUGUGAGUACGUGGCUUAGGUCAAACAAGGAGAUGCCUCUGUCUGGACUUGAGACAAUGAUGCAAACACAAGGUCAGCUGGGAGACUCUCUGUGAGUAGAGUAGACACAUCAGCAAUCCAGCUCUGGUGGUGGACAGUGUACGACAGCAGCUAUCGAACAGAGGUAUUCUCCAUGUCUUUACCCUGCCUGGCUUGCAGGAAGCACUCGGGAAAUUUUUGAAUGAAUGAACGAAUGAAAGAAAGAUAUUUUCAGUCCUAUUCAUUCGCUGGAACUCUCAAGGAGCAUAAAUUCCUCUCAUUUUGGAGAGGAAAAUUAGAAUCUGAAAAAUCUCUUCUGAGAGCUCGCUUUUUGGUGGUUUUCCUGGUUCCUGUGAGGACCCAUGUGUUUGAAUGAAAUAGCUUGCUGCUGACUGAAUGAUUACUUGUCGUUCUGCUGCUAGUACAUGAAGAAUCUCUCUACACAUGGAACGGUAGGAGCACGUUGCAGUGAAGACUUUGUUAAACAUUCUCCUGGGAAACAUACAUUUUGCGUGAGAAACCAGCAGACAUCCCCUCAAAACGGUCCUUUGACCUCCUGAAAAGACUUCCAUUAUUCCAGUUCACAAAUCAAGACAGGCUAAGCUGUAUCAAGCACUCCUGCUCAUUUGACCCCAAACUUUUGUUGUGGUUUUACUCAAGAGCUAAGACAUGAAAACAUGGAGAGACACAAGUUCUUUUGAAACAGUUAGCAGAGUCUGAGAUGCUACUUGCCAAGUACAAGGUGGAUAUUUAAUUUUUGAAGGUGGUUUGUUUCCUGUAUGUAAACUCUCCACCCUUCAGGGUUGAUUUUGGAAGUCAUGUAAACAGUUCAGAUUUCUCCUUGCCAUUUUCAGGGGUUCAUUUCUGAAGAAUUAAGAAGGGUGUAUUCCCUGUGUGUGUCCUGGGGGUUUCCGUUUCAUCUUCCUUCUCCUUGAACUGUAACGUUAGGCUGUGACCUCCUCUUCUGGUCUUCUUGAGCAUGUCCUGUAUCUCCUCUUCAGAGUCUUCAUGGGUGAGACAGCCUUUGUGCACAAGCUCUGACAGAGGUUCAAGGAGAAAGCUCUCUCUGUUUGGAGAAUGUCCUGUUUGGUGCCAAAAAGAACACAGCCUGGUGUACAGCGAUGAAACACCCUUGUUUGUGUCAGCUCUGCCUUUAAUCUCUUUGAAAAUUGGAAUAUUCACCAAAUCUCUUCAAAGAUCUUUUUCAUUUGUAAAAUGAGGUUAAUUAAACUACACUUUGGUCAGGAUAGGUCUGAUUUUGCAAUGAUAACAAGCAUGCCCCAAAUUUCAGUUGUAUAAAAGGGCAAAGGUUUUUACGCGUUCCACAUGGAUCGGCAGGAGAUCUUGGGUCUGGGUAUUUGCUUAGGGAUUCCGACUCCACACCUCAUCAAAUGCUUCUCAAAGCAGCCAACACGUGCUCCUGGUAUUCAGUUUUUAAACCUCUUCCCGAGACCUUGAGUUUAUUAAGUCCAGCAUUUGCUUCUAAUUUAUUUCAGGUGAGGAGUUACUAAAUGUUUUGCCACUAAAAGGCAGAAUGCCAUCUUUUAGGCCUGCCAUGAACAGUUUCCUCACCAGCCACUGCUUGGUUCCUAAACCAAUGCUAUAUAUUUCAGUUUGGGGCACCAUCCUAAUUAUAUAUGAUAAUUUCUAGAAACAUCAUGUUAGUAUGGAUUAUGCUGUGAUAGCAAAUAACCUCCCCCCAAAAAAGUUAAUGACUUAAAACAAUAAAGGAUUAUUUCUCACUCAAGACACAUUCUCUUAAGCAUUGCUUGGGCAAUUACUCAUUACAGCUCCUCGAGGAUCCAAGUUCAACAAAAUGGAGCCACCACGUCACACAUUGUUGAUUGUUGAUUGCUGCACCAAAGAGUAAAGGGAAUUCCAGGGGGUCUCACACCAGCAAUUAAACACACAGCUUGAGACUUCAUGUGUUUCUUCUACUCAGAACUCAGGGGCAAGAAAAAGUCACAUAUCCCCACCAAACAGACUUACUGUGUGACCAGAAAGGGGGAACUUGCAAAUAUCUGACGAAAAGCACUGAUGACCAGCACAAGCUGGUCCCUUCCACUCAUAAAAUUACACGAUGAUGUUAUUCUUACCAUGGUCCAAGGAACUCUUUGGGUGACAACCCUAGGCCACAGAAAGAUAAUCAUACAUGCAUAAAAAAAUUUCACAUUUAAAGAAAUAUUCCACGAUCCAUAAAGUUUGCUCAACUUUCAGCACCGGUGACUGAAGGUAUCUAAUCAUGACUCUAGCAGAAAGCGUACUAGCUCUGUCUACACCCAGCUCACGGCUCCCCA